GAUCCUGGCUCAGGAUGAACGCUAGCUACAGGCUUAACACAUGCAAGUCGAGGGGAAACGACAUCGAAAGCUUGCUUUUGAUGGGUGUCGACCGGCGCACGGGUGAGUAACGCGUAUCCAACCUGCCCACCACUUGGGGAGUAACCUUGCGAAAGUAAGACUAAUACCCAAUGAUAUCUCUAGAAGACAUCUGAGGAGAUUAAAGAAUUUAUCGGUGGUAUGGAUGGGGAGUGCGU
RNAcentral lists this ribosomal RNA (236 nucleotides) under uncultured bacterium. RNAcentral describes it as "partial 16S ribosomal RNA". It matches the Rfam family "Bacterial small subunit ribosomal RNA", at positions 15 to 236 of the family's 1533-position model. The record is from RNAcentral.